This 250-nucleotide ribosomal RNA is filed under the name uncultured prokaryote. RNAcentral describes it as "partial 16S ribosomal RNA". It matches the Rfam family "Bacterial small subunit ribosomal RNA", at positions 524 to 773 of the family's 1533-position model. The record is from RNAcentral.
UACAUAGGGAGCAAGCGUUAUCCGGAUUUAUUGGGUGUAAAGGGUGCGUAGACGGGAAAGCAAGUUAGUCGUGAAAUCCCUCGGCUUAACUGAGGAACUGCAACUAAAACUACAUUUCUUGAGUACUGGAGAGGAAAGUGGAAUUCCUAGUGUAGCGGUGAAAUGCGUAGAUAUUAGGAGGAACACCAGUGGCGAAGGCGACUUUCUGGACAGCAACUGACGUUGAGGCACGGAAGUGUGGGGAGCAAAC